CUUAUUUUCUUUAUUUUUAUUUGACAGUAGUCCCAUUUUCGCUAAACAUAGCACAUACCGAACUGUACCGAAACCGUGACCCUAAAACCGUGAGCAAUUUGAACCGUUGCACCCCUGGUCAAAUUUGGUCAAAUUAGGAUGGACUAUCUUGUGUUUUGGUGUUACAGUCUAUUUCAUUAAUAAUAAAUAUUGUUUUGGUGAGUAUGUUUCUCGGAUCAUAAAAAGGUGUGCCCCCCUAUGAAAGCGAAAUGCCCCCCCAUUAACAUGAUGGCCCAUUGCUAUCAAUCACUGCUAUUUACAGUGGGCAGGGAAAUGAUUUUCAAAUGCUAAUUGUGUCAUCAGGCUGUUUGGUCAGGAUUGGUUGUCUGUUUUGGUGCUCUGAUCACUUAAAGCCAUCCACAGCAGAGAGAAUUCAUUACAUCUGUCUGCACUGACUGAAGUCUCUGAAUGAACUCUUUCUGGAAAAAUCAACAUUCAGAGAUAUUUGAACCUUGAAAUGGCUUCUGAGAGGUAAGUACAAUUGUAGUCUAAACAGUUUCCACAUAAACAGUCUGUUGUUAAGUGAGAGUUAAUUACAAAACAGCAUUAAUUUGCAUUUAAAGACAUUUGAAUUAAACACAGUAUUGGUAAUUGUGCUACACAUAAUAUAAUGAAAUAUUCAGUAUUGCAUGAUGCAUUGUUUCCAUAUUUAACCUGAUAAACAUUUUUUUAGCAGGUAAACUCCUCGACCUCAUGAGUCCCACUAUUUUUAUUGAAACCUUCAUCUUUGUCAGCUGUUUGAUGAUGCAUUUUACUUUCUCCUAAAGGGUUAUUUCACCAGAAGAGUGCUGGGCAAUCUUGCAGUCUGCUGAAGAUGACUUCUCAACAAUCAUGAUUGAUACUGGAUCAAUGACAAGAGAACAAGAGCAGCUGGUGGUGCAUUUCCUGGAGGCCAUGGUGAUGCUGCUGUACCUCCAGAAGUGGUGAAGAAUAUGACUGUUUCUGAUUGGAUGAAACCGGUUCUCGGUUCCUAACCCUAGAUGUGAUCACCCCAAAUGUGGAACAGCAUCAAGCCAGACUACAAUUUCGUACAAACAUCACAACAUUUGUAUAUCAAUCCAGAGUUGUAUUAAUUUUUGGCCGAGAUAGGAUAUCGACGAUGGGAAAGUGGAAUCGAUACUUUUGGCCUACGUCAGCCAUCUGAGAGCAAAGUGCACAGAUGGAUUGAGAAGCAGGGAUGGAUGGAGAACGUACCAGAUGCUGCUGAAGUUGUGAAGGACUGGAAGCCUCCACGAACCAUCCAGGCAGCAACAGACAGCAAAUACAUCCGACGGAUGAGCCGCAAGCAGUGCUGGAAAGGACUGCAGGUGAUGGACAUAGAAGGCAAGGGUCCCAGGGUCGCCACCACCAGGCCGUUUUUUGCGGUGAAGUGAUCUGUGACUACCACCGCCGGCUGAUCUCCAGGAAGGAGGGCCUGGAAAUCUACCAGAACAGUGAGGGAGAAGCUGGACAUUCAUUUUUCUUUACAGACAAAAACAGACAGCUCAUGUGUUUGGAUGCUCACGAGGAGCACUGCGAGUACCAUCCAAACAAAACUACGUUUGGAAGACAACUUAAACAUUCUGCCAAAUGGGCCAAUCUCAGUCCUAGACUAUACCCUGUGGAGGAUGAACCAGUCAUACUUUUCAGGACCACACUGAACAUUCAGAGAGGUGAAGAGAUCCGGUAUGACUAUGGAGACAACAAAAGGGCCUACGCUGGGGACGGUCUGGAUUUGAUGCCGUCCUAACUGAAGUUAGACAUUAUUUGGAUUAUGCAAAAGCUUUUUGUACAUUUUUUCAUUGUUUUUCCUUUUUUAUCUAGAAUACAUUGAAAUUACGAUGACACAUAAUUGUAUAAGGCAAUUACAUUAAAAAAAAAGUACUGAUAAAAGUAUUGGUCUUGUCUGUGGGAAAAACAGCAUGUUGGCAUUAAUAAGACAAAAUAAUCGCACAACAAACCUCGAAUUUUAAUUCUCAGCUAUUGCUCCAAAUGUAAAAUUGUUUAAAUAAAUGUUAAAAUUUCAAAUGUC
Megalobrama amblycephala (Wuchang bream) is the source of this 2050-nucleotide long non-coding RNA. RefSeq lists it as uncharacterized. The transcript has 4 exons. The record is from RefSeq and is a predicted model, not a curated record. Lineage: Eukaryota; Metazoa; Chordata; Actinopteri; Cypriniformes; Xenocyprididae.